This is a non-coding RNA of Oryza barthii, 194 nucleotides long. NCBI's taxonomy places the organism in Eukaryota, Viridiplantae, Streptophyta, Magnoliopsida, Poales, Poaceae. The record is from Rfam.
AAUAAGUGCAGUUUUGCACUAUUCACGUUCAACGUUUAACAUUCGUCUUAUUUGAAAUUUUUUUAUGAUUAGUAUUUUUAUUGCUAUUAGAUGAUAAAAUAUGAAUAAUACUUUAUGUGUAAUUAAAUAUUUUUAAUUUUUUAAAUAAGACGGACGGUCAAACGUUGGACACGAUAUCUACUAAUGCACUUAUU